Molecule: unclassified non-coding RNA, 1323 nt
Filed under: Zea mays
Lineage: Eukaryota; Viridiplantae; Streptophyta; Magnoliopsida; Poales; Poaceae
Description: misc RNA Zm00001eb270740
Source: RNAcentral
CACGCGCCAUUCGCGCAGAGCUCCAAAAUCGCGCGCCGAACUGGGAGCCGACGCGAGUGCGGCAAGUGAGAUAAGGGGGCGCGUCAGAACACUCAACGGCGGUGAUCUGGGCGAGCGCGACACAGGAGACCAGAGAGAGAGGCGCGCUGACGAGGAAGCAGGAAGUCGUGUCGCCGGAGGAGCAGGGGAGAUGGGUGUCGUACAGGGGCAGGACGAGCGCGCCAGGGAGCUGCGCACGCGGCAAGCAGAGAGGGAGGAAGAUGGGCGCAUGGCCAUGGAAGCAGGGCGCGAGCUAGGAGACGGACGCCGAGUAGGGAGCUUGGCUGGGACGCGACUCCCAUGGGCGGGCUGGCCGAGCACCGGGAGAUGGGGCGCGCGCACCAGGGGGAGCAAGGCGCAGGAACGCUCGGCCGGACGCGGCAAGCAGAGAGAAAACGGGAGGAAGGAAGAGGAGCAGGGCGCGCGGCGCAGGCAGCCAUGGGAGGAGCGAGCUGAGGGAGCUCGGCGCACAGAACUUGAACCAGGACGAUGAUGCAUGGGAGCUCCAGGGCGCAGCGAGCUGGGGCCCUGAGCACCGAGCUGGAACAGGCGCGCGUCAGAGAGAGAUCAGAGGGAGCAGGUGAGAGGCACCGAGUUGCAGGAGGGAGUAGCGGCAGUCGCGCAGGGAGCUCGGGUGAGCCAGGACCGGACGCCGAGCAGGGGAAAACGCCAUGGGCGAACGCAGCAUGGGGUCAGGCCAAGGAACUCCGGCCGGACGCCAUGGGAGGGGCAGAGUUCAGGGAGGAGCUGGAGGGAAAGCUCUGCGGCCCUGGCGAGCAAAAGCGCGCGGCUAGAGAAGGGAGGAGCAGAGGAGCACACCGCUGCAGGGAAGGAGAAGAUGACCAGGGAUAAGAAGCCUGCGCGCGUGGAAAAAUCAAGGAAUCGGCGGCGCGAUUUUUCUUCCACGAGCGGCGGCCGGAUGAAGACGAGGGAACGACGGCCAGGAGAUAAGCAAGGCACUAAGAAAAAUCUGGAGGAAAAGAGAUAGCAACGGGAAGGGGAAAAAUCUCCAUGAGAUGAAGAUGAAGGCUGCACGGUGACUAAAAAGUCCCUAGGCGGCUGAGAUAUUUUUCUCUUUCUUUUUCUCUCAUCAUUUUCAUUUUUUACAGGAAAAUCGUAGAUAUUUUAGAUCCCGAUUUGGAGUCAUAGAUAUUUCAAAUGGUUGGAUUUUUAGCGAUGCAUAAUGAGUUGACGGUAUCUGUGAUACGGUUCGAUUUAAUCGAAACCAAAUAGGAUUCAUCUGAAUCUUGUUUAUUUUGGCGAAACAAAUUUCAGACAUCCGGG